AAACCAGCACCUCAAGUGGUCAGGAUGAUUAUUGGGCCUAAAGCAUCCGUAGCCUGCUCUGUAAGUUUUCGGUUAAAUCUGUACGCUCAACGUACAGGCUGCCGGGAAUACUGCAAAGCUAGGGAGUGGGAGAGGUAGACGGUACUCGGGAGGAAGUGGUAAAAUGCUUUGAUCUCUCGAUGACCACCUGUGGCGAAGGCGGUCUACCAGAACACGUCCGACGGUGAGGGAUGAAAGCUGGGGGAGCAAGCCGGAUUAGAAACCCCGGUAGUCC
RNAcentral lists this ribosomal RNA (274 nucleotides) under uncultured bacterium. RNAcentral describes it as "partial 16S ribosomal RNA". It matches the Rfam family "Archaeal small subunit ribosomal RNA", at positions 473 to 747 of the family's 1478-position model. The record is from RNAcentral.